This 468-nucleotide ribosomal RNA is filed under the name uncultured bacterium. RNAcentral's name for it is "partial 16S ribosomal RNA". It matches the Rfam family "Bacterial small subunit ribosomal RNA", at positions 28 to 507 of the family's 1533-position model. The record is from RNAcentral.
GACGAACGCUGGCGGCGUGCUUAACACAUGCAAGUCGAACGGAAAGGCCCUGCUUUUGUGGGGUGCUCGAGUGGCGAACGGGUGAGUAACACGUGAGUAACCUGCCCUUGACUUUGGGAUAACUUCAGGAAACUGGGGCUAAUACCGGAUAGGAGCUCCUGCUGCAUGGUGGGGGGUGGAAAGUUUCGGCGGUUGGGGAUGGACUCGCGGCUUAUCAGCUUGUUGGUGGGGUAGUGGCUUACCAAGGCUUUGACGGGUAGCCGGCCUGAGAGGGUGGCCGGCCACAUUGGGACUGAGGUACGGCCCAGACUCCUACGGGAGGCAGCAGUGGGGAAUAUUGCACAAUGGGCGGAAGCCUGAUGCAGCAACGCCGCGUGCGGGAUGACGGCCUUCGGGUUGUGAACCGCUUUCGCCUGUGACGAAGCGUGAGUGACGGUAAUGGGUAAAGAAGCACCGGCUAACUACGUG